RNAcentral lists this ribosomal RNA (253 nucleotides) under uncultured bacterium. RNAcentral's name for it is "partial 16S ribosomal RNA". It matches the Rfam family "Bacterial small subunit ribosomal RNA", at positions 524 to 776 of the family's 1533-position model. The record is from RNAcentral.
UACGUAGGGUGCAAGCGUUGUCCGGAAUUAUUGGGCGUAAAGAGCUCGUAGGUGGUUUGUCGCGUUGUUCGUGAAAACUCACAGCUUAACUGUGGGCGUGCGGGCGAUACGGGCAGACUGGAGUACUGCAGGGGAGACUGGAAUUCCUGGUGUAGCGGUGGAAUGCGCAGAUAUCAGGAGGAACACCCGUGGCGAAGGCGGCUCUCUGGGACGGUACUGACGCUGAGACGCGAAAGCGUGGGGAGCGAACAGG